Long non-coding RNA from Cucurbita maxima (winter squash), 1792 nucleotides. RefSeq lists it as uncharacterized. The transcript has 6 exons. The record is from RefSeq and is a predicted model, not a curated record. NCBI's taxonomy places the organism in Eukaryota, Viridiplantae, Streptophyta, Magnoliopsida, Cucurbitales, Cucurbitaceae.
AUUGGUGAAAGCCACUCGCUAUCUGCUGCAUUUCUUGGCGACCCCACCCUCCAACUAUUGCAGAAUCUUCCUCUGUAAUCUCAUCUCCAUUUUAUACUAUCAAAUCUUUGAAAAGGUUGAUUCUGCCUCAUAAAAUAACUUGUAGUUUGUCAUUUCUCCUUCUUAAUGUUUGGUUUAAAUGGAUUCAACGAACUUGCCAAACAAGAUUGUGGCUCGAAUUAUGCUCUGAAACGUCAUAUUCUUCUGUUUUUUUAUCUCUUUGUUCAUCAAUGAUUCGAACCCAGAUGAAAUUUCUGGCCAAAUGUUCGAGUUCUUCUUCGAUUUCCCCUUCCCUUGUGGUUCUUUAAUCGUUUCAUGCCCUUUCAUGGCGACCCAUUAGCCAUUUUUGGCAGUUUUGAGUGUUCUUGGUUUAGUUUUUGGAUAUGGCGAUUCGAGGGAUCGAUUUCAAAUGGUACGAUGGAUUCUUCUUGUCAAUGCUUGCUACUAGCAUAAUAAUUGUGACUAUCAAUUGGAGGCGGUAGAAUACAUGUAGAUAUCCGUUGCACGUAUGGAUCGUGGUUGAUUAUACCUCUGUGUUUGCUUUUCGCCUUUUGCUGUUCAUAGAUAAUGCACUUUCAGCUGGAAUGGGAUUGGAGGCAGUGGUGUAUUUCAGAUUUGGUGCCUUGAGUUGUGGUUCUUUCUAUUCUCUCUAUAUUGCUCUACCCGUUUUUAUGUACGUGGACUAUAAUCGGUACCCUAUGGUUUCGAGACGCUUAAGACUGUGAUCGUGGUAUGCCGUGUGCUCACAACUUCCACGUCGAGUGCCGCUCCUCCGUCUUCCCAAAUCUCGACCUCAAUGCUCUUUCUAACCUGCGCUUGGACACAGAACAAACAUCUGCCAAUUGACUUUCAGCCACUCAUUUCGACAGCGUCUUAGAUGCAGUGGAGAACGGUAGCUCGACUGUGCCAUCUGCUUCUCGACAUUGAUCGUGUACAGACUGAACCCGCUUUUUUUGUCACUAAAACUUCUCAGCUCCUUCAACCCCAGAGACCUUUCCAUCAUAGAUCCUGCAUAAUCAGUAACCCUCAUAUUCAUCUCACAUUAGUUGGAGAGAGGAACGAAGCAAUCCUUAUUAAGGUGUGAAGACACGUUUUAAAAUUGUUAGGCUGACAGCAAUCCAUAAUGACCCAAAAUAGACAAUAUCUGUUAGCGGUGGACUUGGGCUGUUACACGUCUAUAGUUCUACGGUAAACCCGAUGCAGGUUUCGAAGAAGGGGAAGAGGACAGAUUUGCAGAGUGAGUCAACUUUUUGUUAGGUUUCCAAAGAUGGUUAUAAAAUGCUUAUGAACUCUGACAGUGACCUUCAAAGCUUGAGUCAUGGAGGAAACAAGAGUUCACGUGGGUUUCUUCCAUUAGCCCAUGUUCAUAGCUCGUGGUUCGUACAGAUUCUUCACUACCUGACAAACAUUCCCCGCCUUCUCUUGUUCUUUUCUCAAGUUUAGAACAUUAAUCAUAUACAUUUUUACCGGCUUAAAUGCCCGUUGUCAUAAGCGUGGCACUCGUGGUUCAUAUCAAAUCGAUCGUGAUCUCAUUUUGUUUGUGAGGAAAUUGGAAUAGAACUCGAUCAUGACUUGUUUGACUUAGACCAGGCUUGUCAUGAAAAUAGUGAGGUCUGAUCUCAAUUCAUACCGAUCGUAAUCUCAUUUUGUUUGUAAGGAAACUAGAGUGAAACUCGAUCAUGACUUGUUUGACUCGGAACAGACUUGUCAUGAGAAUAGUGAGGUUUGAUCUCAACUCGAACAGUUAUCGUAA